RNAcentral lists this transfer RNA (83 nucleotides) under Kouleothrix aurantiaca. It matches the Rfam family "tRNA". From Rfam's summary of the family: Transfer RNA (tRNA) molecules are approximately 80 nucleotides in length. Their secondary structure includes four short double-helical elements and three loops (D, anti-codon, and T loops). The record is from Rfam by way of RNAcentral. Lineage: Bacteria; Bacillati; Chloroflexota; Chloroflexia; Chloroflexales; Roseiflexaceae.
GCCGAAGUGGCGGAAUGGCAGACGCGACGGUCUCAAAAACCGUUGAGGGCGACCUCAUGUGGGUUCGACUCCCACCUUCGGCA